Molecule: ribosomal RNA, 500 nt
Filed under: uncultured Glomeromycotina
Lineage: Eukaryota; Fungi; Glomeromycota
Description: partial small subunit ribosomal RNA
Rfam family: Eukaryotic small subunit ribosomal RNA
Source: RNAcentral
CCAAUAGCGUAUAUUAAAGUUGUUGCAGUUAAAAAGCUCGUAGUUGAAUUCCGGGAUCAACACGUCGGUCGUGCCACUGGUAUGAACUGGCGUCGUUGAUUUCUCCUUUCUGAAGAACCAUCAUGUCAUUAAUUUGGUGUGUUGGGGAAUCAGGACUGUUACUUUGAAAAAAUUAGAGUGUUUAAAGCAGGCUCACGCUUGAAUACAUUAGCAUGGAAUAAUGAAAUAGGACGUUCGAACCUAUUUUGUUGGUUUCUAGGAUCAACGUAAUGAUUAAUAGGGAUAGUUGGGGGCAUUAGUAUUCAAUUGUCAGAGGUGAAAUUCUUGGAUUUAUUGAAGACUAACUACUGCGAAAGCAUUUGCCAAGGAUGUUUUCAUUAAUCAAGAACGAAAGUUAGGGGAUCGAAGACGAUCAGAUACCGUCGUAGUCUUAACCAUAAACUAUGCCGACUAGGGAUCGGAUGAUGUUAAUUUUUUAAUGACUCAUUCGGCGCCUUACG